GGCGGCGAGCGCGCGCGGCAACCGCCAAACGCCCGCCUUUGUAGCCCCGGCCCCGCGUCCUUACCCUGCCGACGGCUGCUCGGCUCCGGCCCGCGGCGGCGGCCCCAGAGCCGAGGACCGGGGUGGGCUCGCGCUCUUCGUCACUGGAGAAGUCCGGGGGCCCCUUGCUGUUGGUGCCGGCGGGGAGCGGCGGCCGGUUGCGAGCCGUGAGGUGCUGCAGGACCGAGGGGUCUUCCAGGAACUCCGGCAUCUCGGGGAUCUGCGAAGCCCCCUCCCCACAGCCUUUGCCGCCGCCGCUCACGCCGGCGCGCUUGCUCCUGGCCGGGGACCGCGCUGCCGCCUCCGAGCCUCACGGCUCCUGCCCGGAAAGAGCGCUGCGGAGCGGAACAAAAACUCGCGGACACAAAGCCAAGCCAGACCCGGACACAAAAGACCCCAGAGCCGAACUACGAACCAACUGCGGCCAAGCUGGAAGCUCGCACCAACCCCAGCCCACACACUACAGGCAGAAGGCGAGCAGCCUGCUUCGCCCACGCCCCAAGAACGCGCGCCGCCAUUGGCGGGCGACGGGAGGAAGCGCGGCGGUGAUUGGCUAGACGGCUCGCGCGGGUUCCAUUAGCCGCCGCGCUGAGCGAGAGGAGACGCCGAUAAGGGACAGGUCGUACUGCUUUUGUGCGCCGUUUCCUCUCCCUCCCCCAGCUUGAGAAGCAGCUUUCGUCUCUGGGGUCGAUCGCCUAC
RNAcentral lists this non-coding RNA (738 nucleotides) under Pan troglodytes (chimpanzee). The record is from RNAcentral. Lineage: Eukaryota; Metazoa; Chordata; Mammalia; Primates; Hominidae.